This is a long non-coding RNA of Carassius auratus (goldfish), 1314 nucleotides long. RefSeq lists it as uncharacterized. Lineage: Eukaryota; Metazoa; Chordata; Actinopteri; Cypriniformes; Cyprinidae. The transcript has 4 exons. The record is from RefSeq and is a predicted model, not a curated record.
UCCGUUAGUGCUUCAUUUCUGCUAACCAAGUUUGAAAUUGGUCGGAUUACGCGCUUUAAUUUCUAAUAUAUAUCAUAUUUAAAAAGCUAGUUUGGGCGGGAAAUAUCGUAGUUUAAUCAGGUCACGUGUUCCAUUAUUGUUCCCAGUCGAUUGCAAAGUACAGUACCGUAAGAUCAGAAAGUUCGAGGUUUGAAGUCUGGCAUAAGGAUGUUUAUUUUGGGCUCCUGGGGUGAAGGAUCUAGUGUCAAAUUAUCACUUCUCCCAUCAAGAGAAAUGACAAAGUGACUGAUGCAUGAAACCAUUUCAUUCCUUGGCCAGUGCGCAACAGAUGAAGUGAAAAUUUACUGCAGGACCUCCCAGCCAGCAUCCUGAGCUCUGUCCCAAAAAUCGAGAGUGUAAACUUGAGCGGAACUCAAUCAAAUCAAUACACCCUCAAGCAAAUGCUGGUGCCCAGCUACUGAUGGUUCUGAAUCUGCAAGGAAACCAAUGUACCAUCUCCCAGAAAAGGGCUUCAAAGAUCUCCUAAACAUAGUCAUUGGCAUGAAGAACCUCUGCUCUCCCACCAAAUGCAUUCAAGCCUCUGAUUGCCCUCGAAGUCCUGGAUCUAGCCUUGAACCACAUACAAAGCAUCUCACCCAAAGCUUUUGUCGGACUUGAAGCACUGCUUUUUCUCAUUUUGGAAAACAAGAAGCUGAAGAAUAUCCAAGCUGGGACCUUUGCACCCCAAUUGGUCUUGAAAUACUGGUGCUAGACAACAGUUUUCUCUUCACACUUACCACAGCCACACGAGAAGUUAUUUCCAACCUGCAGGAGCUCUAUGUGAGAAAGAAUGAAAUUGAGAGUCUGUCAGCUGACUUCUUCUGCCAAAUACCUAAACUGUCUCACAUAGACUUGAAAAUCGACUACAUGCCAUUGAUGGAAAUGUGCUAGCCAACAUGCAAGGUUUAAAAGAAGUGUUUCUGCAUGACAACCCAUGGAAAUGUGACUGCAGUAUAGGGCUAAUCACUCUCCUCCACGAAGACUUCAGUGCACUAGCCCAGAAGAGUUUCGUAGUAGACCCUUCCACCAGCUGAAAUAUGAUGAACUUCCCUGCAGGGCCUAGAUAAUCCUCACGUCUGAUAUCAUAUCACAAACACCCUCUAAAAGUUGGGAACAUGGGUAUAAUAACAGCAUGAUACUUUCUGCAACUAAAUGAUGAUGCUUCAUAUAACUCCAAACACAAUGACUUUGACAGGUUAAUGAUAGAGCUGCUGUUCUGCGGAUAGUCAUAAUUUUCACCCACGUCAGUCGACUAUUUUAAGGCCACCUGGAGAG